RNAcentral lists this transfer RNA (72 nucleotides) under Candidatus Berkelbacteria bacterium. RNAcentral's name for it is "tRNA-Lys". It matches the Rfam family "tRNA". From Rfam's summary of the family: Transfer RNA (tRNA) molecules are approximately 80 nucleotides in length. The record is from RNAcentral. Lineage: Bacteria; Candidatus Berkelbacteria.
GGACCGCUAGCUCAAUGGUAGAGCAAUUCCCUCUUAAGGAAUUGGUUCCGGGUUCGAGCCCCGGGCGGUCCU